Molecule: ribosomal RNA, 253 nt
Filed under: uncultured bacterium
Lineage: Bacteria
Description: partial 16S ribosomal RNA
Rfam family: Bacterial small subunit ribosomal RNA
Source: RNAcentral
GACGAAGGAUGCAAGCGUUAUCCGGAUUCAUUGGGUUUAAAGGGAGCGUAGGCGGCCUUGUAAGUCAGUGGUGAAAUCUCGCAGCUUAACUGCGAAACUGCCAUUGAUACUGCUUGGCUAGAGUACAGAUGCUGUGGGCGGAAUAUGACAUGUAGUGGUGAAAUACAUAGAGAUGUCAUAGAACACCGAUUGCGAAGGCAGCUCACAAAACUGUAACUGACGCUGAGGCUCGAAAGUGUGGGGAUCAAGCAGG